This 253-nucleotide ribosomal RNA is filed under the name uncultured bacterium. Its description in RNAcentral is "partial 16S ribosomal RNA". It matches the Rfam family "Bacterial small subunit ribosomal RNA", at positions 524 to 776 of the family's 1533-position model. The record is from RNAcentral.
UACGUAGGGUGCAAGCGUUAAUCGGAAUUACUGGGCGUAAAGCGUGCGCAGGCGGUCUGUCAAGACCGAUGUGAAAUCCCCGGGCUUAACCUGGGAAUGGCAUUUGGGACUGCAAGGCUUGAGUGCGGCAGAGGAGACUGGAAUUCCUGGUGUAGCAGUGAAAUGCGUAGAUAUCAGGAGGAAUACCGAUGGCGAAGGCAGGUCUCUGGGCUGACACUGACGCUCAUGCACGAAAGCGUGGGGAGCAAACAGG